This 253-nucleotide ribosomal RNA is filed under the name uncultured bacterium. Its description in RNAcentral is "partial 16S ribosomal RNA". It matches the Rfam family "Bacterial small subunit ribosomal RNA", at positions 524 to 776 of the family's 1533-position model. The record is from RNAcentral.
UACAGAGGGUGCAAGCGUUAAUCGGAAUUACUGGGCGUAAAGGGCGCGUAGGCGGUUCUUUAAGUUGGAUGUGAAAUCCCUGGGCUUAACCUAGGAACUGCAUCCAAAACUGGAGAACUCGAGUGCAGUAGAGGAUAGUGGAAUUUCCGGUGUAGCGGUGAAAUGCGUAGAUAUCGGAAGGAACACCAGUGGCGAAGGCGGCUAUCUGGACUGACACUGACGCUGAGGCGCGAGAGCGUGGGGAGCAAACAGG